AUACGGAGGGUGCAAGCGUUAAUCGGAAUUACUGGGCGUAAAGCGUACGUAGGCGGUUAUUUAAGUCAGAUGUGAAAGCCCCGGGCUUAACUUGGGAACUGCAUUUGAAACUGGGUAACUAGAGUUUAGUAGAGGGGAGUGGAAUUUCAGGUGUAGCGGUGAAAUGCGUAGAGAUCUGAAGGAACACCAGUGGCGAAGGCGACUCCCUGGACUAGAACUGACGCUGAGGUACGAAAGCGUGGGUAGCAAACAGGAUUAGAAACCCCGGUAGUCC
RNAcentral lists this ribosomal RNA (274 nucleotides) under uncultured bacterium. RNAcentral describes it as "partial 16S ribosomal RNA". It matches the Rfam family "Bacterial small subunit ribosomal RNA", at positions 523 to 796 of the family's 1533-position model. The record is from RNAcentral.